This 78-nucleotide ribosomal RNA is filed under the name Paracerasibacillus soli. RNAcentral describes it as "Virgibacillus soli partial 16S ribosomal RNA". It matches the Rfam family "Bacterial small subunit ribosomal RNA", at positions 1 to 77 of the family's 1533-position model. Lineage: Bacteria; Bacillati; Bacillota; Bacilli; Caryophanales; Bacillaceae. The record is from RNAcentral.
AUUAUAUGAGAGUUUGAUCCUGGCUCAGGACGAACGCUGGCGGCGUGCCUAAUACAUGCAAGUCGAGCGAAUUUGAUG